Molecule: long non-coding RNA, 1392 nt
Filed under: Macaca nemestrina (pig-tailed macaque)
Lineage: Eukaryota; Metazoa; Chordata; Mammalia; Primates; Cercopithecidae
Description: lncRNA (ENSMNEG00000045961.1)
Source: RNAcentral
AUAUGCAAUAAAAGUUUUUAAUCUUAUCUACCUAAAAUAUAUACACAGCCAAAACAUGCCCGAUACGCUGUCAUGGCAUAUUGAAAUGUAAAAGUGUUGGACAUAUAGUUUACUAACAUCAAAAAUUAACAUCCCUAAAAAAUCUUAUUCGUUGAUAAUCAAUUGAGCUAAGAUAUACUACAAAAUAAAAGUUUACAAAGAAAUGAGAGAUGAUAGGUAAUAGAAAAGUUUUCUGAAUGAACAGCAAAUAUAGGACAUACAGCGUUUCACGGGAGAAGAGGGUAUGACUGCUUUGUGAGGAAAUACUUCGUGCAAGUUAGUCAGUUUUCUAUUUUUCUGCAUUCUAAUCAAUGAUAAAAUGUUAAUUUUCAGACUUUUUAGAUUUAAUUUCUAAUGUAUUGACUACAGAAGUAGUGAUAGUAAUUGAUAAAAAGAAUAUACAGGCUAAGGAGGAAGAACCACAGAUUCGUGAAUGAAAGAUUUGCAUGUUUUUAAAAUUUAUAGUAGAGAAAUGUUCUCAUGAAUUUACCUGUGAUUAACCUUUUGUAGAUCAGAUGAUCCCAUCAGAAUCCAAACAAAAGGAAGAGGAAGAAAAUUCUUGGGAUUUAGAGAGUGACCGUGAGACUGUUUCACAGAAGGAUGUGUGUUUACCCAGGACUGCACCUCAAAAAGAAUUCCACAUGAUAAGUGGAAAAUUAGAAGAUCAGAUGAUCCCAUCAGAAUCCAAACAAAAGGACAAAGAAGAAAAUUCUUGGGAUUUAGAGAGUGACCGUGAGACUGUUUCACAGAAGGAUGUGUGUUUACCCAAGGCUACACCUCAAAAAGAAUUCCAUACAAUAAGUGAAAAAUUAGAAGAGUCUCCUCAUAAAGAUGGUCUUCUGAAGCCUACUUGUGGAAUGAAAGUUUCUAUUCCAAAUAAAGCCUUAGAAGUGAAGGAUAUACAAACAUUCAAAGCAGGUAAAUUUUGUAAUUUUAAUUUUACUCUGGAAAGAAGAAUAUUAAAAUAUUUGAAAUGCUGAGAGCCUUAUAUUCCCAAUGUUGUUUUCUUUUCAAAAUUUGAUGGGAAAAUUUGAUACAAAUAAUGCCAAUGUUAGUAUUUAUGUUUGAAAAAAUGCCAUUUACAAGCAUAAGAUUUAGAGAUUAAAAAAAAAAAUCCGCUUUACUUCAUGUGGUUCAACUUUAAUGUCCUGAUAGUAUAAAGUUUCCAACUUGCAAUUUCUGUAUGUGCUUGGUUUUAAGGCAGGUGAAAUUUGAGACUGUCAAAUAUUUGCAGUGGUUCAAAUACUGACUGGAAUUCUGGUAAUUACCUAGAGGAAAAUUUCACUUGCUGACAUGACAGUUGUGAGUGUUGUUACUCUGAGAAUCUAAAGAAAAUCAGUUUUUUUUCCUUUU